GAAUGAUAUAUAAUAAAGUUUAUAUAUUUUAAUAUAUUUACUCGUAUUUACUCGUUUUCGACGAGUCCUUAUGCUGUUUUUUAUCGGGCUAAAGUGUGGAAAAUUUCCAAAAGAUGACGGUUAAGUAUUGCUGCGUAAUUCAAGCAAAACACCUGCGAUAUUGGAGAUAAUAUCGCUUCACACCUCGGCUGGAAUGGACUGGCCAAAUGGUGGCUCUGGCAUUUUCGGUCAAAAUGAACUUUAUGGCGAUUUCGGCGAGUUACGAGAGGAAGAGGUCGAGGAGCUGAGGUCUGAAAGAACCAUUAAAAGCGGUCUAAAGUCUGCAGAAGAAAUUGAACGAUUGACCGUGGAUGAGAAUUUAACAGAGAUUGAGAGAGCUGUGCUUUUACUCAGUUCUGGAAUAGAAGCGCAGAAAGUCAGUGUUAUAAACAGUCUACCAUCUUUGUUUGAAAAUAACGCCAAUGAUGCAAUCAAACAAGUUAUGCCAUUGGUUAGGGAAUUAUUGUAUAUUGCUCCAGUUGAGAUCCAAAUUGUUGCUAGCAGAGUCUACUGUCAUAUCAUAGAAAAUAGUCUCCUACCAAUAUAUGCAUUCACCUCAACUUUUUUACCAACAAUUUUAAGCAAUAUGGAAAACAAAGAUCCAGCCAUUUCAAGAGGUUGGCUCAAUGCAUUGCUGUGCACAAUACCACAACUACCUAAAGAUGCUAUUAAAAGAGAGAUUCUACCACUUGCUAUCACAAAAGGCCAGCUCUCACAGUCAGUUGUGUCAAGAUUAUCAUGUUGUAAGAUCCUUGGUCAGGUGGCUACAAAAUUUGAGCCUUUUUGGAUCAAGAAAGAGCUUCUUGGUCUGGUGACAUCAUUGUGUCAAGAUGUUGACUAUGAAGUCCGAGCAUGCAUGUGCAACGAACUGGAGUCCAUAGCAAGGGCAUUGGGAGGGGAGCUGACAAAGGCAUUUAUCAUCUCUGAACUAGUGGAACUAACAAAUGAUGAAGAAUGCACUGUUAGACUUGCUGCCAUUGAAACUGUUGCAAAUCUCUUGCAACUUUUAGAUGAUGAGAUUUGUGUCAAAGUUAUAAUUCCUCUUGUGCAAAACUUUUGCGAUUCUGCUCACAAGAAAAAUAACGAAACUCUCGUCACAGUUUCUCAACUGUUUGGGAAACUCAGCUACGGCCUGAAUGUGAAUUUGACAGAAUCCCAAAAGAAAUGGUUCGUAGAAUAUUUCCAAAAGUUGUGUAGUUCUGGUUUAACUGAAUCCAAGAAUAAAGUGAAUCAUUUUCAGAGAUUCAAUGCGUAUAAUGAAAGCCUGGAAGAAAGCAGAUGCACAGAGAUUCGGCGCAAUUGUGCUUUUAAUUUUCCGGCAAUGGUUCUGUUCGUUGGGCCUGAGAAUUUUACAAAAGAACUAGCCUCUUGCUUUCACGCUCUUGUUACGGAUCGUAAAAAUAUUGUGAGACGGACCAUUUCAUGUGGCUUUCAUGAGGUUAUCAAGUUACUAGGAAGUAAUGUUCAAUGUCUACAACCAGAACUGCACAUUCUUCUGAUGGAUGAAUCUGUGCAUGUUUUGGAGGGUUUCAUAUCAAAUCUUAAUAUUAUACUGACGGCAUUAUCGAAUGGCGGACGAUCCUCGCUGCCCGAAUCUAAGCUGAACAAUUUGUCCGACCUUAUCCCACCAGUUAUCACAUGUGAACAUACUGUAUCCCAGUCCAACAAUUGGAGAGUCCAUGAACAGCUGCUGGGAAAAUUUGCUAGUUUUGUCAAGUGUUUCACCUCCGAUCAGAUCUACUAUAAAUUUGUACCAGUUCUGUUCGAUGUUCUACAAAGAAAUCAUGUGCUUCCAGUAACCCACGCUGCGGCGUACACACUCUGUAUACUUAUCAAAAAUAACACGCGGUCUGAACAGAGAGAGGAGCUUUGUCGCCGUUUUAUUGAGGAUUGUGGGAAAGGAAAAAGUUAUCGUCAUAGAUUAUUGUUUAUAAAGAUAUGUACAUAUAUAUUAGAAAUAUUUUCGAGGAAAUUCUUCAAGGAGCAUUUCUUUGUGUUCGCCUUGGAGCUAGCAAUGGACCCUGUGGUCAAUAUAAGAUUACAAUUCUGUAACUUAUUACCUAAGCUGAAGUCAGUUUUAAAGCUGCCAAUCGACCGUGGUUUGCUACAACGUCUGGAGCAGUGUGUCAGACAGUUACUAAGUGAAGAACAGGAUCCAGAUGUUUCCACAGCCGUGCGAGAGGCUGUUCUUAAGCUAGAUAAAAUAGAAGUUGUUAUGGAAACGUUGAGCAGAAGAUCCAUGUUUGAAGAGGAUUUAGUCGACCAGAAGAAAGAGGAAGAAGAAGCAUUAAUGGAGGAGAGGGAACGCAGUGGCUUAUCUCUGGCUCAGCGUAGUUCUGAUAGCAAGAAAAAGACUCCAUCAAAGGAUGAUAAGAUAAGCAAGAAAGUUAGCUCAGUUAACAGCAAAAAAGUUACCCAUGGAAAACAAGAUUUAAAGAAAACAUUGAGUAAAGAAGGUAAAACCAGUGGCAGCAAAGCAUCAGCCAGUAAAAACUCGCAAACUACGAAUUCAACGCUCGGAAAAAUGGCGUCGAUAACCUCGGCUCUUCCCGACCUCGCUUCGUGUAGUUAUCUUUCUGAGAAUACCACUGGUGCAAGUUCUAGGAAAGUGACCAGUGGUCCAAGUUUAGUGACAGUGAAGAGUUCGCAUAGUACUAUGGCAAAUAAAUCUGCAACCGCUAAGAAAUCCCACAGCAUCUCAGGCAGCAGCAAACCAACCGUAAAAACAACUCGAUCACAGUCCACGAAAAGGUAGCAUUUGGACAAAAUCACUAAGAAAAGCCAAGGUGCAAGGUGAAAUCAAACCAUCUUCGUUAUAUUUCGUCCAAAUUAAAAACAGUGGAGGAAACCAGAUGCACACUGGAAUUAGAAGAAAGGCAUUUGAAAUUUUUGAGCAUGAUGGAAACACAUCGGAUAUCGGAAAUUUGU
RNA transcript from Dendronephthya gigantea, 2967 nucleotides. It is a transcript of the gene named serine/threonine-protein phosphatase 4 regulatory subunit 4-like, with no coding region annotated. NCBI's taxonomy places the organism in Eukaryota, Metazoa, Cnidaria, Anthozoa, Malacalcyonacea, Nephtheidae. The record is from RefSeq and is a predicted model, not a curated record. The transcript has 26 exons.